AAAUUGUCUCCACAUUAACAAGUACCCAUGCUGCUGAAUUCAAUAGCGCUAGCCUUCAUGAUGUCGCUCUUCGAUUCCGGCUACUGAGGCAGCAAGGGUUUUGGGUAUCUACAGGUAAAACAGUGCAUUUUUUAAUUAAAUAGUACAUUUGGUAUUAUUAGGAGAAGUUUCUUCUAUAAAUAGAUUGUUCUUAAACUUUUGAUAAUUUUACAUGUAAGGCGACACACACUUGCUUGCUAGUACUGAUACAGAAACCUCAUCACUCACAGAAUGCACAUAAAAGAAACUUUUUCUAGAAAAUCAAUGUGUUAGUAGCUUAAAAAAGUACAAAACUUAUGCAGCUAAUGCAGGGACAGUCACGCAGUACUGGCUAAUGUUCUCACAAGAGGUACCAUGUAUCUGUUGCAGAUGUAUUCAGCAAGUUCAAAGAUGAAGAUGGGGCCUUCCUUGUUGACAUAACUAAUGACACAAGGGGACUAUUAAGUUUAUACAAUGCAGCAUACCUUUUUACUCAUGGGGAGACGGAGCUUGAAGAAAGUAUCUUGUUUGCAAGACAACACCUUGAAUCGAUGGAGAGUUACCUUAAGUACCCAUUGGCUGACCAAGUCAGGCGUUCUCUUC
RNAcentral lists this long non-coding RNA (621 nucleotides) under Brachypodium distachyon (stiff brome). Its description in RNAcentral is "long non-coding RNA (BDIS_LNC001280)". Lineage: Eukaryota; Viridiplantae; Streptophyta; Magnoliopsida; Poales; Poaceae. The record is from RNAcentral.